CGCGUAGGCGGAUGUUACAGUCAGGCGUGAAAUUCCUGGGCUCAACCUGGGGGCUGCGUUUGAUACGUGAUGUCUGGAGUUCGGAAGAGGGUCGUGGAAUUCCCAGUGUAGAGGUGAAAUUCGUAGAUAUUGGGAAGAACGCCGGUGGCGAAGGCGGCGACCUGGUCCGAUACUGACGCUGAGGCGCGAAAGCGUGGGGAGCAAACAGGAUUAGAUACCCUGGUAGUCCACGCUGUAAACGAUGUGCGCUGGAUGUUGGGUGACAUAGUCAUUCAGUGUCGUAGCUAACGCGAUAAGCGCACCGCCUGGGGAGUACGGCCGCAAGGUUGAA
RNAcentral lists this ribosomal RNA (331 nucleotides) under uncultured bacterium. RNAcentral describes it as "bacterial SSU rRNA". It matches the Rfam family "Bacterial small subunit ribosomal RNA", at positions 568 to 898 of the family's 1533-position model. The record is from RNAcentral.